This 312-nucleotide long non-coding RNA is filed under the name Capra hircus (goat). RNAcentral describes it as "lncRNA (ENSCHIG00000004350.1)". Lineage: Eukaryota; Metazoa; Chordata; Mammalia; Artiodactyla; Bovidae. The record is from RNAcentral.
GAUUAGUCUGGAACUGUUGCAUCCAUGAGCUGACCUAAGGAUAAACCAUGAAGGAGCCUCCCAUGUGCAUUUGGAAUGGAAAAUAUAUAGUGUUUAGGAUAGUAGAGGUUCAUUACACUUCUUAUUUCUCAAAUAAAAUAAAUUCUUGCUGCCAGACACUAAUGAGAAGGAGCAUGAACACAGAUGGUACAAAAGUGCCAGUAAGUCAAUGACUGUUUUCGUCACCAUCCUGAAGCAAAGCAACAUUGUUAGAGACUUGGGUCCAAAUCUGAUCUGAAAAGAAAAAAAAAAAAAUAAAAAGGUUUAUUCCCU